Anas platyrhynchos (mallard) is the source of this 8332-nucleotide non-coding RNA. The record is from RefSeq and is a predicted model, not a curated record. NCBI's taxonomy places the organism in Eukaryota, Metazoa, Chordata, Aves, Anseriformes, Anatidae.
CGGAGCAAUCCAUCACACUGCGGCUCGGGCACCGUCAUCGCCGGGUGGCAGUGAGCUAUGGACGGGGCUUUGAUAUUUUUCUACUCUCUUGUGCAGGAGCAGAGACAGAUCUUCCUUGCUAUAAACUGUCAUCGUUCCGUGGGAGCUGAUGGUCUGUCAGCCUCUCUGUGUUGUCUCUGGGUGCUGUGAGUAAUGGUGCAGCAGCAGGAGGUGCACAGCAAGGUCCAGAGUCAUCCUCACCGCUGGAUACCUAUGAGCAGGAGGCUGAGCUGAAGUCACUGAGGUUCCUCUUGUGAGUUCAUGGUUGAGCUGUGGAGAAAAGCACGUUGAGCUGUACAAAGCCACAGCUGUUCCCCAAGAAGCGGGGUCCUUCCCUGCCUGCUCCGCGUGGCAUCGGGUGACUGCCCCGGCCUGCUGCCAGGUGGCAGGAGCCGAGGAAGGAAACCCUCAGGCUGCUUCCUCCCAACCUGCUCAGACGUUCCCACUGCUGCACAACUCUUUAAAUCAAAUAUUUGCUGCAUGUUUGGCCUAUGAUUCACGUUACCUUCAUGGGCAACUGAGCUCUGACAGGUGCUGGUCAGCCAUGCAGAAGGGCUUCUCGUGGUCCUCUUAAUUUUGGUAGGGUAGGUUGUUGUGUUGGGUGGGGAUGUGAAGAGAGCUGAGGUUGGAGGCUGUAUGAAUGGAUGUACCCAUCGGCAUCAGGGAGAGGAGCUGCUGGAGGCUCCAGAAACACCACGUGGAUGUGGGGCAGCCAGCCUCCUGCUGCCAGGGAAGGGGUUGGUGAGUUACAUCAGGCUUCAUCGACAGCCACGCAGUGCUUCGGGAGGAUUUUUACCCCAUUCAGGGUGAAUAUUGCACAGUCGUUCAGUUCGCAAGUAGAGAAAAUUAGAGGAGGAGAAAUUAGAGGAGGAGAAAAUUAUGGUCGUGGUGCUGAGGGUUGAACAGGAGAUCUGAUUGUUCAGCUGGGUCUCGUUCCUCGCCUGUCUCUAAAUGUGGGUGGUUCGAGCUUUCCCCUGUUUGGCCUGUCUCUGCUGCAGUGUGAUGGCAUCUGCUCGAGUGCCACCCUCCUCAGCCAUCCCACAAUUCAGGAUUGCUGAUGCCUGCUGCUAAAAUACAAGCUGCCUCCUUCCCUCUAAUCUUCUUCACCCCCUGAAGCUGCCCCUAUCUCCAGCUUUCAUCCAAACCCAGACAAAACCUUCUACAAGGUCUUAAGCAGCCUUGGGAAUGUUCCUCCAGGUUUCUGGAACACCACGGGGUGGUCACGGCUCGAGGUGGCGGUGAGCACGGGGUGAGCAAGCAGCCUCAGCUCCGGUUGCAAGCAGCUGCCCCUCGAAGCCAGGGGACAGAUGUCAUUCAGAGAAAUGUGAGCUGGCCACCUGUGCAGCAAAGGAAAGGCUCAAGGUGAGAAGGCAGAACCAGACUGCGCCCUGGUGCGGGGCGUUGGGGUCCUGGAUCCGUUGCAUUUCCCACACAGCCGAACUUCCAACGCAGAGCAGGGGGCGAGCUCAAUUCCCAGGUGACUUCAGCAGUGUCACACAGCCUCAUCUCCCAGCCCGAGCUGGACAGUGAGAGGCUUCCAGUUGUGCUGGAGGGGGGACUGGGAUGGGACACAUCCUUGCAGCAGGAGGGCUUGGUUUCAGGAGGCUGGUGCAGGGAGGAGGGCUUGGGCGUGGGGUUUGGUGGGUGACGGUUCCUGCCUCUGUUCUCUUUUCACUGGGUUUAAGCUGUGUGCACCGGGUCUGAUGCAAGUGCGAAGGUGCGGCUUCAAAUUUCUACCGAAGGUGUUGUUUUGAUGCCGUUGACACAGCGGAUCCUGCUCGCCUUGGAUGCCAAGGCAAUUUGGAAGUGGCUCCAGAGAAGGCGAGGUGAGCUUGUACGAGCUGGCUGCCAGCAAGGGGAGAACAGGCUCCAAGGCUGGGUUAAACUUCUAGGGUCACAAAUGAUGCCAAAUGCAGCAAGAAAAUAGUAUGUGAUUAGCUGAUGAGGUGGCAUGGCUAUUGCCUUGCGUUUGAAUGCUCGAUGUUUUAAGCUUAAUGAUGGUAUUCCAAUAUACACUUUCUGUGAAGGAAAUAUAUUAUUUGUGUAUGCACCUCACAGCUUAAAAUUUAGUGUGAGAAAGGUAUUUCUUCUCUCCACCUCUGGAUGGGUAGCUGUUUAAUAAUAAUAGUUAGCAUUAAAAGUUCAUAACAUUUUAUCUUUAAUAGCAAGACAUUUACCUUUUACCUGGAACACACUGCUAAAAUUGCACAUUUCAUACCCGAGUGCCAUGCUGAUGAUGUUAGAAAAUGCUGGCCUGGCUUGAACCAAAUUAUACACUUCUCCUCAAGCCUUUAGCUAGUUUCCUCUCCAUCAGGGGUGGCAAAAAGUAACAUAAGCACAGGAGAAAGAGAAGAAAGAACAGAUGCAGACUUCAGAGGCAACAUACAGUACGUAAGUUUGCGUGAAAUACUGGUAUUCAAGCUACAGCAGUUUAAUGGAUGUUAAUUCGGUUUCUGUAUUAACCCAGUAACUCGUUAGUGUUAAUCAAAUCCAUCUCAUGUUGAGCUUCUACAGGUGUGGAUGUGAGGAGGUGUCGGUGUGGGGAUGAGGAGCUCUGGGUGAGGGCGGUUGUCCUGGCACAUUGCUGCUCGGCAAGCACCCGCACCUCGGCCGGUGCUCAGCGUUUGGCAGACAAUGCGAGGAAAGCUUGACCAGCGUGGUUUGUUGGAGCAGGAACUGCAGAAAAUCUGGGCCACAAAAAGUUUAAGCCUCACGCUGAUUCUUGAUGGUGUGCGGGGAUUUCCUGGUGGGACAUUUCAGGAGUGUUGUGUGAGCUGCCUCUGUGAAAGACCUUCACACAGCAGCAUUGAUGAGCUCCUCUAAAUCCUGAGGAGGAUGAAAAAAUCUGAACUCUGAUGGUGCCCCAGAGGCUGGGCUUGCAUCCCCUGGCCUGGGGACCAUGUCCCUAUCCAGAGCCGGGGAAAGGAAGACUUCCAGCGCGAGGCAGGCUCUGCCACCAUGCAGUGGGAUAGAAGGGUGGAAAUGGCUUUAUUUAAAAGAUAAAGCACCUUGUCUAAAUCCUAAAAAAAUGGUUAAGUAUGCUGCCAAAUCUGUUCUGGCCAUAUUGAGCCUGGAAACCUGGCUGCAGCCAUCCUGAACUGAGUUCCUCGAAUGCCUCCCCUCGAUGGCUGGGCUCGAGCAUCCCCGUAAGGAGCCCGCGGGGCCGUGGAUGCGCUGGGCUCUCCCUCCUCUUCACCCCCUCCCUGAGAACCAGCCGUCACUGCCUCUACGUGACAGGAGGAAAGUAUGUUUUAAGGAGUAAUAUUAAUAAUAAUAGCAACAUUAAAGUGUGCGGAAGGAUUACAAAAGUAAUUCUGAGAUCUCGCUUGCUAAUGCAGGCUAUUAACAAAAGAUAAUCACCUUUAAGUCAGUCACCUUUAGCCCUGGAGUAAAAUGGAGGCGCAAUUAUUCAAUUCAGUACAAAAGGCAUUUAAAUAGAGAUGGAUGAACCUCUGGCUCUCACGUCUUGCUUGGGAAGCCAGCCAGGGCCAGGUUCUGAGGGAGGAAAACGUGAUGUGAAAAGGGCAGCAAUAAGGGAAAAACUCCCGGUGUUCUCUCCCUUUUUCCACCACACCCCAGGUCAUUCACCCUUUGGAGUGUGAAAAAGGGAAAGGGAGAAAAAAAACAGGACAAACACGUUGGAAAGCAGCUCUUCGUGUAGCUUUUAUGAGUAGCAUUCGGAGGCUCUUAUGCUCCGGGCUGCCCUAAGAAGGGCAGCCCCGAGUCAGAGCGCGUUUUUGCCGUCGCUCCGUGCCCUCGUGUUGGUGCCUGGGGAGCAGCCUGGGCAUGGCCCCGGGGUUUAUUUAUGUGCCUGGGAAACCUUUCUCUGCUGAAAACCGAAGUCUUUUUUUGCUGCAAGUGCUUUUUAAUCCCCUCCCUUGUGCUCGGAGCCCGUGCUCUCCCCUGAAAGCAGCCUGUGGUUGCUGGAGCACAGGGCUUAUUUUUGUAGGGUUGCUUCUGAGUGCUGCCUUGCUGGUUUUGUUGUUUAGAAGGGUCAUUGGCGUAUUCGAUUGGGAAGGAGGAGAGGACGGGGGCUCUGGAAGCUUGUGUGAGAUUGCAGAAGUGCCUUUGAAAGCCUUUUGAGCUGCACAGAUGAGCAGUCGGGGCUUUUGGAAAUGCCACACUGACUGACCAGCUCAGCUGCAUUCAGCAUCCUCCUAAAACACCCAGUGCUUUUCUCCCCCCUGAAGCACUGGAGCCGAAGCAUCCAAACACCAUUGCCCUUGCCUCAUCCCUGUGAGCGUCGUCGUUGCUGGCAGCAGGGAGCCAGGACACAGCAGCUCCACAAGCCUCGUGGAGCAUGGUUUGGGACGUCCGUGAGAGAUCAGCAGGUAUGAGGAAUUACAAACAGGAACAAGUUUUUGGAAACAAAACUGAGAGUUGUCGAGAGAGGCGUCGUUAGUGGCUGCUAAUCCACCGGGUGGGGAGAGGAGAAGCCCCAGUCCAGCCCAGUGCAGAGUGGAAUAAAUUCCCUGUCUCUGUUUUACGUCCUGUCUGUGCAAGCGAGGGGCCUCGUGCGCGCCUUCCUGCUCCGCUCCCGUGUGGCUCCGUCUGGAUGGCUGCCUGCUUUGGCUCUAUAAACAACAUGGUAGGAGCUCGGGGUGUGAUUAUCCUCAGAGAUAUAACCGCAGCGUUCACUCCACUUGCUCGUUUUCCACUGCACAGCUCAUGCGCAGGCUUCCACGCUGGUGGCUUGCCUGGAUCUAACCCGCAUGGUUGGGCAGCCCCAAAUCUUGGUUUGUAGGGUGCCGCUUCAGGGGUCAGCCCGCUGUGUCCCAGGGCUCAUGUGGGAGCAGCAUCCUUAAAGGAAGACCUUUAAGGCUGUGGGAGGGCCCAUGAACACCCACCAAGGGACUCGUCGUGUCACAAGGGGGGCUGUCACAAACAAGACCUCACCCUGCAGCGGGGAGUGAGGAGCAGGGGGAGGCAGCGAGCUGCGAGCAUCUCCCUCACCUCCGAGGGCAGUGCUGCCUCUGGGUUUCCUCCGGGUGUUUGGAGGCCUCUGGGUGAGACCGGAGGCUAGCGAGGGGUAAGGCUGCAGGCAGAGGGAGGCUGGGCUCUGUCUGCCUGCUGCAUGGCUCCGUAAAUCAGGGCGGGCUGUGCUGCCGCCGGGAUUCCUGCGUCGUCUGGAAAUUCUCCGUGCGUCCAUCAGCACCUGCACCGUCGGGGAGGCUGAACCUCGGGCUCUGAGCGGAGAGGUAAACAUUUCGGACCCCAACCCAGGAUGACAAUAACCAGAGCAGAAACCUUUCCGUCCCGUUGCAGGUCAAACCUGGUUUAGGCAUUUCAACCCAGAAUUUCUCUCCGGGGUUAAUUGGAGAGAGCUGCCUGCUCGUGGCCCUUCGCUUAGCCCCAUAAAACCCUGCUCACGCACUCCGUCUCUGUCCACCCCCUCCUUCAGAUUCACAUUCGAGACCCUGGUGGAGAACAUCUUGAAAAGGUAGACAAAUUAGCCUUGUAAAAGCCAGACUAAAUUGACAGUGUGUUUAUUGCAGUGCUGCGGUGUUAACCCCUGCUGAGCUGUGCCAGGACAAGCUUCGUGCUCCAGCGAUGCGUUGUGGUGGUGGUGGAGCAGAUGGCACUGGUUUGUGCUGGGCACCAUGUUGGGGAGCCCUGCAGAUCCCUGGGGGUGGAGGAGCUGAACCAGUGCCUGGAUGGCUGGUGUCAGCCUUCCUGCUGGGGGAACACCAAGGGCUGGAGGUCUGGGCAGAGCCUCGAGGCUGCCUAGGGGCUGUUUGGGUACCGCGUCCCCAUUGAGACCAGUACGGGUUUGGGGAAGGAAGAAAGGUGAAACAGUUGAAAAUCAACUCCUUGUGCUUUGUUCAUCUGAAGCCCUGAGUAAUUUGUGACUUCUGUUUCAGUUUCUGUCUGCUAAAGCAGCCCUUUUCCCAUAGAAACUACUCACAGGUUCUUCAUCAGCUCAGACAGGCACAACUUCCCUUGUCAGAUCCCCCUUUGGCUCAAACCUGAUGCUGGGAACGGAGGAAGGAGGCUUCUCCCCUGCUUCUCAGCAGCACAGGGAGAGGAGAGCGACCCUGGGGAGCUGAGCCUGGCCCUGCUCCACACCCACCCGCCCAUGCAAGCACUGGGUGGGCAUUCCCUGCCUCUCUGGGGCAGGUUUGUCCUUCAAGUUUCAUUUGGUUUGUGGUGGAUGAGCCAAAGGAGCUGCAGACUGAACGGGAGCCUAGGAGGAGUUGAGCUCUUCUGCAUUCAGCUGAGCCGAAUGAGAUAAGCACAUCCUGCGUCGUUCACGUUUUAGUGGAGGAAAAAGUGUUUUCCCCUUCCAAACGCCCUGGAGGAGUUGGGGCAGUGUCUGCCCUGUGCAAGGUGCAGAUGGGUUGGUGUUAGCAAGUCCCGGCCACUGCCUGCCCCUCCUGGUCUGGGAGCCUGGACUGUUUGUAAAACUGCUCAGGGCUGGCUCACAGCAUUCACUCUUUCCCACGACAGAUUGAGCAUCACCAACUGCUGGUGACCAAAACACCAUGAAUCAAGGCCUCAGCUCAAGAGGCAGCUUAGAGAAAAAAGUUAAAAAAAAUAUUAACGCUGAACUUUUUGUUCUGCUUUUGCUAGCCGUACAAUGCUUGUUUUCAAGCCUUCCUCUGCAACCACAACAUUUAAAAGAGCAUUUAAAAAAAAUCAGAGCUGAGAUACUCUUAAAAUCACAUGUUUCCAGACACCGGGGACUCGAGAGUAGAGCUGCAGAUAUAAUCCUGAGAUUUGGCAGUGCUCUUUGUAUCAUAUUAAGUGAUGGUCUACAGCACUCGUUAAUUACUGCGGGCUGAAAAACAAUUCUGCCUCCCGACAGAGGUCUUCUGCUCAUUCUCAGCAUAGAAGUUUUUCCAGUUCUCGUGGGUCAGAGGGAAAUAUCACUUUCUAAAAGGCGUAGGUACAAAAUUAUGCAGUGAGGUAACCUUCUGAGUUGGGAUUUAACAGUGUUCUUAGACUUCAACAGAAUAAAGCAGCAUCGAUUUUAUUCAAAGAGAGAAAUUUGAGCAUAUUGGACUGAAAUGAUCCCCCUUCAAAGCUAUUUCUGAAUAAUCGUGCAGGUAAUUUUGUAUUUCUAAGCUCCCGUGUCUAAUCCAAAGCCUCUUGAAGGCCAGCAGAGGAGGGUGGGCUGCCGCUUGGAGCAGGCGGCAGGGGCAGCGAUCUGGGCUUUACGGACAGACACAUCCAGGAUGGAUCAGCCCUUCCCCUGCCAAACCCGGGCUUUGUGCAGGUGCCCGGGAGGUGUGGCGUUCCCUGGCAGCUCUCCACAUGCAGCAAGGUAAAGCUGGGCUCUGCUCCUUCCCCAGCCAGCUCCCAGCCUCCAAACCCUGUGUGUUUUAUGAGCAUCCUCCACCUGCUCCUGGCCUGGCUCCGCAUUUCCAGGGAUCUGCACUUGCCAACCUUCGUAGCCGAGCAUCGGUCCCUGCCCGUAGUUUGUUGCCUUCUGCUUUUAGGCAGCACCUGAGGGAGCAGCAAGCUCAAAGCAAAGGCAAGAAGCAUUUUGGUCCCUGGGCUGAUGCACUGGGGAAGCGUCGGAGGUCACCUCUGCUCCCCUGGACCAUCCCUGGAGCUUUUAUCGCUGGAGAAGCAGCAGCGGCAGCUCAGUGCAGUGCUGGGGGUGCACAUGGGGUGAGCCCCUUUGAAAAAGCUGCAGAAAAAAGGCUGCUUUUCUCAAACGGGGCUGGGGCGAGAGCUGGGGACUUGUCCCCGUUCAUCGUUCCUGCCCUUGUGCCCCGGCAGCGGGCGGGUUCGGGGCUUUGUCUCUGAGCGCUGAGCUCCAGCAAGCUGCCGCACAAACACCAACAUCAAAGCGCUGGCUGAGCGCUUUCUGAAGCAGCUUUCUAGGUUUUACUGGGCUAUAAAAUACGGCGACGAGGAUAUAAAAACAAAGCUGUGAUGGACUUAGCAGAGAGCCAAAGCAAGCGGGGAGAGAAAUGAUGAAAAUGAGAAAAAGGGUUAUGAGCAAGGAAUGAUGUAUCAGCUCCGUGUCAGGAGGAACAGAUUUUGGAAUAGCUGUGAAGAGCAUAAAACUGGUUUAGUCGUUAAGGGAAAAAAAAAAAAAAAGAAAAAAAAAAGGAAAGGAGAAAAAAGCCUGAUAAAAAUGAAUAAAGGAGGGAACUUCAAAGCAUAAAUUUCCUGACUGCAUGACACUGAUGUUUUGAACAGUUGUUCUGUGUGAGAUAGCAGCAGUGAUUUUAAUGAACUUUAAAGAGCAGUAUAAAUAGGAACAAACAAUGAAAGGCGAUCGCAUUAGCACACAGCUAGGCACUGAGCUAAUUGCCUGAACAGGAUUUAAGUGGCAGGUUAU